Molecule: ribosomal RNA, 237 nt
Filed under: uncultured bacterium
Lineage: Bacteria
Description: partial 16S ribosomal RNA
Rfam family: Bacterial small subunit ribosomal RNA
Source: RNAcentral
GAUCCUGGCUCAGGACGAACGCUGGCGGCGUGCUUAACACAUGCAAGUCGAACGAGAAUCUAUGGAACGAGGAUUCGUCCAAGUGAAAUAGAGGACAGUGGCGGACGGGUGAGUAACGCGUGAGGAACCUGCCUUUCAGAGGGGGACAACAGUUGGAAACGACUGCUAAUACCGCAUAACGCAUAGAAGUCGCAUGGCUUUUAUGCCAAAGAUUUAUCGCUGAGGGAUGGCCUCGCG